CAGCAGCCGCGGGAACACGGAGGAUCCAAGCGUUAUCCGGAAUCAUUGGGUUUAAAGGGUCCGUAGGCGGUCUUGUAAGUCAGUGGUGAAAGCCCAUCGCUCAACGGUGGAACGGCCAUUGAUACUGCAGGACUUGAAUUAUUGGGAAGUAACUAGAAUAUGUAGUGUAGCGGUGAAAUGCUUAGAGAUUACAUGGAAUACCAAUUGCGAAGGCAGGUUACUACCAAUUGAUUGACGCUGAUGGACGAAAGCGUGGGUAGCGAACAGGAUUAGAUACCCCAGUAGUCCCUGUCUCUUAUAC
Molecule: ribosomal RNA, 301 nt
Filed under: uncultured bacterium
Lineage: Bacteria
Description: partial 16S ribosomal RNA
Rfam family: Bacterial small subunit ribosomal RNA
Source: RNAcentral